CCUACGGGGGGCUGCAGUGGGGAAUAUUGGACAAUGGGCGAAAGCCUGAUCCAGCCAUGCCGCGUGUGUGAAGAAGGCCUUCGGGUUGUAAAGCACUUUCAGUGGGGAAGAAAGCCUUGGGGCUAAUACCCUCGAGGAAGGACAUCACCCACAGAAGAAGCACCGGCUAACUCCGUGCCAGCAGCCGCGGUAAUACGGAGGGUGCGAGCGUUAAUCGGAAUUACUGGGCGUAAAGCGCGCGUAGGCGGUCUGAUAAGCCGGUUGGGAAAGCCCCGGGCUCAACCUGGGAACGGCAUCCGGAACUGUCAGGCUAGAGUGCAGGAGAGGAAGGUAGAAUUCCCGGUGUAGCGGUGAAAUGCGUAGAGAUCGGGAGGAAUACCAGUGGCGAAGGCGGCCUUCUGGACUGACACUGACGCUGAGGUGCGAAAGCGUGGGUAGCAAACAGGAUUAGAUACCCGUGUAGUC
This 465-nucleotide ribosomal RNA is filed under the name Vreelandella stevensii. RNAcentral's name for it is "partial 16S ribosomal RNA". It matches the Rfam family "Bacterial small subunit ribosomal RNA", at positions 338 to 795 of the family's 1533-position model. The record is from RNAcentral. Lineage: Bacteria; Pseudomonadati; Pseudomonadota; Gammaproteobacteria; Oceanospirillales; Halomonadaceae.